This 253-nucleotide ribosomal RNA is filed under the name uncultured bacterium. Its description in RNAcentral is "partial 16S ribosomal RNA". It matches the Rfam family "Bacterial small subunit ribosomal RNA", at positions 524 to 776 of the family's 1533-position model. The record is from RNAcentral.
UACGGGGGGAGCAAGCGUUGUUCGGAUUUACUGGGCGUAAAGGGCGCGUAGGCGGCGCGACAAGUCAGUUGUGAAAUCUCUGGGCUUAACUCAGAGCGGCCAACUGAUACUGUCGUGCUAGAGUGCGGAAGGGGCAACUGGAAUUCUCGGUGUAGCGGUGAAAUGCGUAGAUAUCGAGAGGAACACCUGCGGCGAAGGCGGGUUGCUGGGCCGACACUGACGCUGAGGCGCGAAAGCCAGGGGAGCGAACGGG